UUAUAUAUAUAAUGUUGAUCCCGCGCAAUGCGCGGAUCUUCACCUAGUACUAUACUAAAAGGGUUAGGAGUACAGAGGAUGUCCAGGUCUGCAAAGAAAAUAAUCCAAUCAUUAUGUGACAUCUGUCCACUUUACCGCGUUUCAUUUAUGCUGUUUCCGUUUGGGCUACAUUCUUUGUUAUUGUUUUGGUUUAUAAAGCCCAAUCUUUGAAAGGCAGAGUAAGACGUAUGCCUGAAACGCAGAGUUUUUAAUUCUAUGGUUUCAUCCCAUUCUCUUCUCCGCCGUUGCAAUAUCGUACCCUAGGGGUUUUGAUCGAGAUGCUUCAUCUUCUUCCUAUGGAUCCAGCGAUCUACCUGUUACAGAUUCUUACUCUUAAAGCCCUUUUUAAAUCCAUCCUCCACGAUGAAGCUCAACGAUUUCUCACUCAAUACUCUCAUCUCUCUUACAAGCGGUGAAGCUCCUCCUACAAAAAGACGCUGCACCUCCACCGCCCAAGUCAGUUUGCUUAGGUUCUGGGAAGAUAGGAAUGUUAAGCGCGACGGAGAGGGUCAACAUUCUCCUCAUGGACGCCAAGGCCACUCUCACCUAAGCCACCGUGAACGUCUACCGCUUAAACACAUUCAGGCAUCUUUUCACUGUUGGUUAAGUGUACUCUGUUAGCGGCUUUGAGCUGUCCGGACUUCAAGCUGUCCGACUCUCCUGUGUCGAUCCGGCUCAAUAUUGAGACGGGUUUGAAAGACUUAACCGAUCCAGGUUCAAAUUCCUCAAGAACGUUUCAGGUUCUGCAAAGAUGAGUUGCUUGGUCUAGCAAACACCAACACCCAUCUUCCAGGAGCAUGGGCUAACUGAAUCGUUCCUCCGUGCCUGUCCUAUUGGUAUAAUGCCUGAUGGAUCAGGCACCAAAUUUUUUAGGUGAAUCCUUAGGCGUUAACGACAAUAACAAGUCGGUUUACUGGAGGAGAAGAAGGAGAUAGUGAGAACAAUAAUGAUAUGACAAAGGAGGUGAAGAGCAAGAACAAGCAAGACAAGCGAAGAAGUAGAAAACUAACGAAUGAGACAUAUUGCGGUCGCUAGGAAUAGGAAGCAAAUGAACGAGCAUCUUCGUAACCUCCAGUCU
Molecule: long non-coding RNA, 1117 nt
Organism: Brassica napus (rape)
Lineage: Eukaryota; Viridiplantae; Streptophyta; Magnoliopsida; Brassicales; Brassicaceae
Exons: 5
Source: RefSeq, a predicted model, not a curated record